This is a long non-coding RNA of Pogoniulus pusillus (Red-fronted tinkerbird), 749 nucleotides long. RefSeq lists it as uncharacterized. NCBI's taxonomy places the organism in Eukaryota, Metazoa, Chordata, Aves, Piciformes, Lybiidae. The transcript is spliced from 2 exons. The record is from RefSeq and is a predicted model, not a curated record.
UGUUUGGCUGCUCAGGCUCUUAAGAGCUCUACUUCUUGUAACAUUCAUUUUACUCCAGAUGAAGACUGCUGCUCCCUGAGUUUUGGAAGAUAGAAAUGAAGCUUCUAAAAACAAGAAGGAAAAUGGAGAAUGAGCUACUUGGAUGAAAGCUUUUCAGCUGAUUGAUAAGGCUGUUGGAUUAGGGCUUGAUUCAGCUGCUCUGAAACAUAUUGCAAAGCUCCCACCUCCUCAGGACAUAGCCAGGACAUGGAACUUCUGUCCAUCACCAUCAAUGUCACACUUAGGAUUCAAGCUUAAAUCACAAUCUUAUUUUCUAGUAGUGAUGGAAGAUCCAUCAACAGAGAUUAUCAGUAAACAUCUUACAAUUGCUUUACACUAGAAAGGCAUGAGAAAAGAAGCCCGAAUACAAGGAAGUUAAGGGACCUUCUUCAUGCUUCCUUGUUAGGGCAGUGGGAGACAUGAUAACAUUGCCUGACUCUGCACACCACAGCUGAGGUGACCACAUAAAAUAUGCUAAAACUAAGAUGCAUUUAAUACCAAAAUUCAUCCUGUUUUUAGUACAGAAAAAGUUGUCUGGCAGAUUACAUUGUUAUUUUGCUACUUGACAGGCAAAAUAAAUGGAUUAUUAAUUAGGACUAUUAUUAAGAAUUUUUUGUUGUCCUCUGAAUUUUGAUUAUCUGGUCUACUGACUUUCACCAUCUCAUCAGCCCGGUGUCACUAACUGCAAAUAAAAAGCUGUAUAUAAACCA